RNAcentral lists this ribosomal RNA (423 nucleotides) under uncultured bacterium. RNAcentral describes it as "bacterial SSU rRNA". It matches the Rfam family "Bacterial small subunit ribosomal RNA", at positions 207 to 622 of the family's 1533-position model. The record is from RNAcentral.
AAGACCUUGCGCUUUUGGAGCGGCCGAUGCCUGAUUAGCUUGUUGGUAAGGUAAAAGCUUACCAAGGCUUCGAUCAGUAGCUGGUCUGAGAGGACGACCAGCCACACUGGGACUGAGACACGGCCCAGACUCCUACGGGAGGCAGCAGUGGGGAAUUUUGGACAAUGGGGGCAACCCUGAUCCAGCCAUGCCGCGUGAGUGAAGAAGGCCUUCGGGUUGUAAAGCUCUUUCAGCCGGAACGAAACGGUUACGGUUAACACCCGUGACUACUGACGGUACCGGAAGAAGAAGCACCGGCUAACUACGUGCCAGCAGCCGCGGUAAUACGUAGGGUGCGAGCGUUAAUCGGAAUUACUGGGCGCAAAGCGUGCGCAGGUGGUUUUGUAAGUCAGAUGUGAAAGCCCCGGGCUCAACCUGGGAACU